RNAcentral lists this ribosomal RNA (495 nucleotides) under uncultured bacterium. RNAcentral describes it as "partial 16S ribosomal RNA". It matches the Rfam family "Bacterial small subunit ribosomal RNA", at positions 28 to 507 of the family's 1533-position model. The record is from RNAcentral.
GACGAACGCUGGCGGCGUGCCUAAUACAUGCAAGUAGAACGCUGAAGGAGGAGCUUGCUUCUCUGGAUGAGUUGCGAACGGGUGAGUAACGCGUAGGUAACCUGCCUGGUAGCGGGGGAUAACUAUUGGAAACGAUAGCUAAUACCGCAUAAGAGUAGAUGUUGCAUGACAUUUGCUUAAAAGGUGCAAUUGCAUCACUACCAGAUGGACCUGCGUUGUAUUAGCUAGUUGGUGAGGUAACGGCUCACCAAGGCAACGAUACAUAGCCGACCUGAGAGGGGGAUCGGCCACACUGGGACUGAGACACGGCCCAGACUCCUACGGGAGGCAGCAGUAGGGAAUCUUCGGCAAUGGACGGAAGUCUGACCGAGCAACGCCGCGUGAGUGAAGAAGGGUUUCGGAUCGGAAAGCUCUGUUGUAAGAGAAGAACGAGUGUGAGAGUGGAAAGUUCACACUGUGACGGUAUCUUACCAGAAAGGGACGGCUAACUACGUG